GAUGAACGCUGGCGGCGUGCCUAAUACAUGCAAGUCGAGCGAACGGACGCGAAGCUUGCUUCUCUGAUGUUAGCGGCGGACGGGUGAGUAACACGUGUAUAACCUACCUAUCAGACUGGGAUAACUUCGGGAAACCGUAGCUUAUACCGGAGAAUCUUUUGAACCGCGUGGUUCAAAAGUGAGAGUCGGUCUUGGGGUCACUUAUAGCUGGAUCUGCGCUGCAUUAGCUGGUUGUGAAGGUCCAGGCUUACCAAGGCGAGGAUGCAUAGCCGACGGGAGUGGGUGAUAGGCCACCUGGGAGGGGAGCCGCGGACCUGACUCCUAAGAGAGGCACCAGAAGGGAAUCGUACGCAAUGGUGGAAAGCCUGACGGAGCAAGCGCGCGUGAGAGAUGAAGGUCCUCGGAUCGUAAAACUCUGUUAUUAGUGAAGAACAGAUGUGUAAGUAACUGUGCACAUAUUGACGGUACCGAAUCAGAAAGCACCGGCUAACUACGUG
RNAcentral lists this ribosomal RNA (497 nucleotides) under uncultured bacterium. RNAcentral's name for it is "partial 16S ribosomal RNA". It matches the Rfam family "Bacterial small subunit ribosomal RNA", at positions 28 to 507 of the family's 1533-position model. The record is from RNAcentral.